CCUGCCUGCCCUGUGACUCUAAGUUUAACGGCCGCGGUAUUUUGACCGUGCAAAGGUAGCGCAAUCACUUGUCUUUUAAAUGAAGACCUGUAUGAAUGGCAAGACGAGGGCUAGACUGUCUCCUUUUCCCAGUCAAUGAAAUUGAUCUCCCCGUGCAGAAGCGGGGAUAAAAUUAUAAGACGAGAAGACCCUAUGGAGCUUUAGACACUAGAAAGCCCACGUCCAACAACUUUCUAUAAAAAGAAAAACUUAGUGGCACCUUAUCUACUUGUCUUCGGUUGGGGCGACCGCGGGGGAUAAACCAGCCCCCAUGUGGAAUAGGAAUAUUUUCCUAGAACCAAGAAAUACUUUUCUAAGCAACAGAAAUUCUGACCAAAAUGAUCCGGCAAAGCCGAUCAACGGACCCAGUUACCCUAGGGAUAACAGCGCAAUCCCCUUCCAGAGUCCCUAUCGACGAGGGGGUUUACGACCUCGAUGUUGGAUCAGGACAUCCUAAUGGUGCAACCGCUAUUAAGGG
RNAcentral lists this ribosomal RNA (517 nucleotides) under Galaxiella pusilla. RNAcentral's name for it is "partial 16S ribosomal RNA". It matches the Rfam family "Bacterial large subunit ribosomal RNA", at positions 1854 to 2571 of the family's 2925-position model. The record is from RNAcentral. Lineage: Eukaryota; Metazoa; Chordata; Actinopteri; Galaxiiformes; Galaxiidae.